Molecule: transfer RNA, 67 nt
Filed under: Anaplecta sp. 4 ZQW-2020
Lineage: Eukaryota; Metazoa; Arthropoda; Insecta; Blattodea; Anaplectidae
Description: tRNA-Val
Source: RNAcentral
CAAGUUAACCUAAGUUGGGAUUUCAUUUACAUUGAAAUAUUUUUUUGUUCAAAUCAGAAUGGCUUGA